RNAcentral lists this ribosomal RNA (444 nucleotides) under uncultured bacterium. RNAcentral describes it as "bacterial SSU rRNA". It matches the Rfam family "Bacterial small subunit ribosomal RNA", at positions 29 to 517 of the family's 1533-position model. The record is from RNAcentral.
AACGAACGCUGGCGGCAGGCCUAACACAUGCAAGUCGAACGCUCUAGCAAUAGAGAGUGGCGCACGGGUGCGUAACGCGUGGGAAUAUGCCCUUGACUACGGAACAACAUCGGGAAACUGAUGCUAUUACCGUAUAAUGUCUUCGGACCAAAGAUUUAUCGGUCAAGGAUUAGCCCGCGUCUGAUUAGCUAGUUGGUGAGGUAAUGGCUCACCAAGGCGACGAUCAGUAGCUGGUCUGAGAGGAUGAUCAGCCACACUGGGACUGAGACACGGCCCAGACUCCUACGGGAGGCAGCAGUGAGGAAUAUUGGACAAUGGGCGCAAGCCUGAUCCAGCCAUGCCGCGUGAGUGAUGAAGGCCUUCGGGUUGUAACGCUCUUUCAGAUGCGAAGAUAAUGACGGUAACAUCAGAAGAAGCCCCGGCUAAACUUCGUGCCAGCAGCCG